UCCCAGAAACUGUCUGUGGUCUCCUCCUGGCUGGCGGACUCGUCGUAGGCUCCAGACAUGGUCUCUCCAGAUUUGGCAGGAUGGUUUCAGGCGGUGACGGUCUGCAGCAGAGUAACGCUCCUCAUGCACUGACAGGUUUUUUUAAUCCAGCUUCUUUGAAUGUGUUGUUAAGAUGUAAUCAUUGUCUUCAUGAGAAGAGGCUGCCGGUAGGUCGCUGAGAGGAGCCGCCAGAUGGGGGAUGGUGCGGGAGGGUAGUCAAG
Long non-coding RNA from Sebastes umbrosus (honeycomb rockfish), 260 nucleotides. RefSeq lists it as uncharacterized. The transcript has 3 exons. NCBI's taxonomy places the organism in Eukaryota, Metazoa, Chordata, Actinopteri, Perciformes, Sebastidae. The record is from RefSeq and is a predicted model, not a curated record.